Molecule: long non-coding RNA, 1103 nt
Filed under: Mytilus galloprovincialis (Mediterranean mussel)
Lineage: Eukaryota; Metazoa; Mollusca; Bivalvia; Mytilida; Mytilidae
Source: RNAcentral
UUUUUUGUUUUUUUUUAAAUAACGUACUUCAUUAACCCCUGAUCAAGACUCAAAGCAGCAUCAUUGCCGAACCCAUAAGGCAGCUACCAAUUGAUUUUCGGGGGAAGGCUGUUAUUAUUGUUGAGUAUAAAACAUAAAGGCAAGGGGGUGGGGUGGUGAGCUAUGGAUUUUGUUUUGGAAACAAAAAAUGUUUCCAGUUUUUUGGCCCUGAAAAAAAAUUGUUUGUUUCACCCUCAGCUGCCACUAUUUAUAAUGCUAAAAUUGAUUUUGACUUGUCACCAAAAUUUGUCCUGAAAAAAAUCAAUAGCUCACGUCCCCCGUCCUCCGCUCCCCCUCCCCUCCACAAAAAAUGAAGUAAAUAGUUGCUGGCUUAUUCAUUUGAAAAGGUCUUCCCGAAUCAACUUGACGUACACAGAAAUAUUCGCCACUGGUCUUUACUCAAACAACGAUUCACGCAUAAAUGCAUGACUAAAAAAAGUGUGAGGUAAAUGAUAUGUUUGUCUAGUAUAUCAGAUCCGUUAAAUAACACUUAAAAUAAAUAAAAAAAACGUUACCCUAUUCCUUUACUAAAUACUCCUUGGAGAAGAAAUACCAUUUGAAACGAACAGAAAAGAUAAAAAUGUAGUGAUCCCUAAUAUCUCAAUCCUUUUUUUCGGCUGUAAGCACGCUGCUGCAGCUAACGUUUUCUAAUGCGUAAUCGAGACAUCUCUAGUAUAUUCAAACUACUACAAAUUAUAAAAAUGGCUUUUAUAAAGUAGCAACCACUUAACUUAAAAAAAGGGGGAGGGUUAUUUUUUUUUAUCUGAGUCAGAUUUUUUUUCGCGCGUACGUUUUUAUUCCUUUUUUUCGAUGCUGGUGAUCAAAUUCUUUUUUUUUCAAUAUUUAACACUAUAAUGUAUGGGGGAACUCUUGAUUCAGAAUAAUUUUUUUAUCAUCUGUAUGACCAUUUUUAUUUUAUCAAAUUGGGGAUCGGAAUAUUUCCAUUCCACCCCCCCCCCCCCAAUCCCCACCCCCAUUUUGAAGUCAAAUGGUUGUUCCCUUAUCGCUAGAAAAAUUGUCCAAAUAUUUUGAAUUUAGUUCUACGUAAUGAACAUUUAAAUGAC